This 497-nucleotide ribosomal RNA is filed under the name uncultured bacterium. Its description in RNAcentral is "partial 16S ribosomal RNA". It matches the Rfam family "Bacterial small subunit ribosomal RNA", at positions 28 to 507 of the family's 1533-position model. The record is from RNAcentral.
GAUGAACGCUGGCGGCGUGCCUAAUACAUGCAAGUCGAACGAACAGACGCUGCGCUUGCUCCGCUGACGUUUGCGGCGGACGGGUGUAUCACACGUGUAUCACCUACCUAUCAUACUGAGAUCACCACGGGAAACCGGCGCUAAUACCGUAUAAUAUCUUGAUCCGCAUGGUUCAAUAGUAAAAUACGGCUUUUCUGUCUCUUAUCGAUGCUUCUGCGCCGCAUUAGCUAGUUGGUACGGUAACGGCUUAUUAAGGCGACGAUGCGUAAACGACGUGUGAGGGGGAUCGGCGACACGGGAGCUGAGACACGGACCAGACGCCUGCGGGAGGCACCAGUAGGGAACCGGACGCAAUGGGCGGAAACAUGGCGGAGCAACGCCAAGUGAGUGAUGAAGAUCUUCGGAGCGUAAUACUGGGCUACGAGUUAAGAACAAAUGUGUAAUGAAAUAUGCAGGGCGUGACGGUACCUAAUAAGGAAGCCACGGCUAACUACGUG